CUUCAGUAAUGAACCUGGACCCUCAGACACAAAACAGAGAGCAGGGUCUCCAGUCCCCAGCUGUCUGUCUCUGAAGAGUGACGGGUCUAUGUGGCUUCCUAUAUCCUUCAGUAAUGAACCUGGACCCUCAGACACAAAAGGGAAGAGGAAGAGUGGUGUUCCUGUGGAGGAG
This is a long non-coding RNA of Trematomus bernacchii (emerald rockcod), 172 nucleotides long. RefSeq lists it as uncharacterized. NCBI's taxonomy places the organism in Eukaryota, Metazoa, Chordata, Actinopteri, Perciformes, Nototheniidae. The record is from RefSeq and is a predicted model, not a curated record. The transcript is spliced from 3 exons.